This 301-nucleotide ribosomal RNA is filed under the name uncultured bacterium. RNAcentral's name for it is "partial 16S ribosomal RNA". It matches the Rfam family "Bacterial small subunit ribosomal RNA", at positions 509 to 807 of the family's 1533-position model. The record is from RNAcentral.
CAGUCGCCGCGGGAAUACGUAGGUGGCAAGCGUUGUCCGGAAUUAUUGGGCGUAAAGGGCUCGCAGGCGGUUUCUUAAGUCUGAUGUGAAAGCCCCCGGCUCAACCGGGGAGGGUCAUUGGAAACUGGGAAACUUGAGUGCAGAAAAGGAGAGUGGAAUUCCACGUGUAGCGGUGAGAUGCGUAGAGAUGUGGAGGAACACCAGUGGCGAAGGCGACUCUCUGGUCUGUAACUGACGCUGAGGAGCGAAAGCGUGGGGAGCGAACAGGAUUAGAUACCCGCGUAGUCCCUGUCUCUUAUAC